This 550-nucleotide ribosomal RNA is filed under the name uncultured bacterium. RNAcentral's name for it is "bacterial SSU rRNA". It matches the Rfam family "Bacterial small subunit ribosomal RNA", at positions 355 to 896 of the family's 1533-position model. The record is from RNAcentral.
UAGGGANNCUUNNNNAAUGGGGGGAACCCUGACCGAGCAACGCCGCGUGAGUGAAGAAGGUUUUCGGAUCGUAAAGCUCUGUUGUUAAGGAAGAACGUGUGUGAGAGUGGAAAGUUCACACAGUGACGGUACUUAACCAGAAAGGGACGGCUAACUACGUGCCAGCAGCCGCGGUAAUACGUAGGUCCCGAGCGUUGUCCGGAUUUAUUGGGCGUAAAGCGAGCGCAGGCGGUUAGAUAAGUCUGAAGUGAAAGGCAGUGGCUCAACCAUUGUAGGCUUUGGAAACUGUUUAACUUGAGUGCAGAAGGGGAGAGUGGAAUUCCAUGUGUAGCGGUGAAAUGCGUAGAUAUAUGGAGGAACACCGGUGGCGAAAGCGGCUCUCUGGUCUGUAACUGACGCUGAGGCUCGAAAGCGUGGGGAGCGAACAGGAUUAGAUACCCUGGUAGUCCACGCCGUAAACGAUGAGUGCUAGGUGUUAGGUCCUUUCCGGGACUUAGUGCCGCAGCUAACGCAUUAAGCACUCCGCCUGGGGAGUACGACCGCAAGGUUG